UACGGGGGGGGCAAGCGUUGUUCGGAAUUACUGGGCGUAAAGGGCUCGUAGGCGGCCAACUAAGUCAGACGUGAAAUCCCUCGGCUUAACCGGGGAACUGCGUCUGAUACUGGAUGGCUAGAGGUUGGGAGAGGGAUGCGGAAUUCCAGGUGUAGCGGUGAAAUGCGUAGAUAUCUGGAGGAACACCGGUGGCGAAGGCGGCAUCCUGGACCAAUUCUGACGCUUAGGAGCGAAAGCCAGGGGAGCAAACGGG
RNAcentral lists this ribosomal RNA (253 nucleotides) under uncultured bacterium. Its description in RNAcentral is "partial 16S ribosomal RNA". It matches the Rfam family "Bacterial small subunit ribosomal RNA", at positions 524 to 776 of the family's 1533-position model. The record is from RNAcentral.